Molecule: long non-coding RNA, 456 nt
Organism: Solanum lycopersicum (tomato)
Lineage: Eukaryota; Viridiplantae; Streptophyta; Magnoliopsida; Solanales; Solanaceae
Source: RefSeq, a predicted model, not a curated record
GUUAAUGUGUGGAAACUAUAUUAAAUUAAAUUAAAGAGAGGUUAUUAUUAUUUUAUCCUAAUACAAAUUAGUUGCGGCUGAAACUAUCGUGAGAGAGAACUCAACUUUGAUGCCGACAAAAUUGAUAAAAAAAAAUUUCAGAUGACGUUGAUCGAAAUCCUAACGAAAGGGGAAGAUUCAAGCGUCACAGUGAUUGUUCGAUGAUUUAAGGUUAUUAGCGUUGACCUUUGUGAAAUUUUCCCUUCUCCUUGUCUGAGGCUUCUUAUGGAGAUUUGUGAGGUAGUUGCUUGUCAUUUCAGCGGACCUUCUUACUCAUAUUUAUGCUCUUGUUCUACUCUAGAAACAAUGUCAUAUGAGACUUACAUUUUUCUUUUGAUUCAGUUGUAAUACUUUAGAGGCUUGUACACGUGACAACCAGGUUUUGGGGAUUUAAUUAAGUUGACCUUGUUUUUCGCA